GGGCCCAUAGUCCAGUGGUUAAGACGUCUGUUUCACGUACAGGAGAUCGCAAGUUCGACCCUUGCUGGGCCCA
RNAcentral lists this transfer RNA (73 nucleotides) under Candidatus Pacearchaeota archaeon. RNAcentral describes it as "tRNA-Val". It matches the Rfam family "tRNA". From Rfam's summary of the family: Transfer RNA (tRNA) molecules are approximately 80 nucleotides in length. Their secondary structure includes four short double-helical elements and three loops (D, anti-codon, and T loops). The record is from RNAcentral. Lineage: Archaea; Nanobdellati.